Molecule: microRNA precursor, 87 nt
Organism: Callithrix jacchus (white-tufted-ear marmoset)
Lineage: Eukaryota; Metazoa; Chordata; Mammalia; Primates; Cebidae
Gene: MIR105-1
Product: microRNA 105-1
Source: Ensembl
GAGUGUGCAUCGUGGUCAAAUGCUCAGACUCCUGUGGUGGCUGUUCAUGCACCACGGAUGUUUGAGCAUGUGCUACGGUGUCUACUU